This is a long non-coding RNA of Polistes dominula (European paper wasp), 408 nucleotides long. The record is from RefSeq and is a predicted model, not a curated record. Lineage: Eukaryota; Metazoa; Arthropoda; Insecta; Hymenoptera; Vespidae.
AGAUGAGUACUCUCAUCCGCCGUUUUUGCUCCUACAGAGAAGACACCAGUAUGGUUUUGUAUAAUAGAUUAAACUACAAAAUACUAUUCAAUGAUUGAUUUAUAAACAUAGAUAACCUCUCUAUUUGGAACGUAAUGAUUUGAUGAAAAGUAUGACAGUAAAAAAGGAAGACAAAAACAAAAGAUCAGUGCUGCUGAAAGCAAAAUGAAGUGUGAAAGUGGAAUAAAAUCUGUUGACGAAGAGACCAUUAUGUCUUUGCUUGCUGAAAAUCUAUCUAUAUGAAAAUCUAUGAGGGCUAUCUAUAAAUUGUAUAUAUUUAAAAAAAAAAAGUAAUGAACUGCACAUAGCAUAAGUGAGUAGUUAGAAUUGUACAUUUGAAAUAAAAUAAAUUUGUAUCAUUUAUAUGAA